RNAcentral lists this transfer RNA (89 nucleotides) under Deltaproteobacteria bacterium. RNAcentral describes it as "tRNA-Ser". It matches the Rfam family "tRNA". Rfam says of the family: Transfer RNA (tRNA) molecules are approximately 80 nucleotides in length. Their secondary structure includes four short double-helical elements and three loops (D, anti-codon, and T loops). The record is from RNAcentral. Lineage: Bacteria; Pseudomonadati; Myxococcota; Myxococcia.
GGAGAGGUGGCCGAGUGGUCGAAGGCGCCCGCCUGCUAAGCGGGUGUACGGCUAACCCCGUACCGCGGGUUCAAAUCCCGCCCUCUCCG